CCUACGGGAGGCUGCAGUAGGGAAUCUUCCACAAUGGGCGAAAGCCUGAUGGAGCAACGCCGCGUGGGUGAAGAAGGUCUUCGGAUCGUAAAACCCUGUUGUUAGAGAAGAAAGUGCGUGAGAGUAACUGUUCACGUUUCGACGGUAUCUAACCAGAAAGCCACGGCUAACUACGUGCCAGCAGCCGCGGUAAUACGUAGGUGGCAAGCGUUAUCCGGAUUUAUUGGGCGUAAAGGGAACGCAGGCGGUCUUUUAAGUCUGAUGUGAAAGCCUUCGGCUUAACCGGAGUAGUGCAUUGGAAACUGGGAGACGUGAGUGCAGAAGAGGAGAGCGGAACUCCAGGUGUAGCGGUGAAAUGCGUAGAUAUAUGGAAGAACACCAGUGGCGAAGGCGGCUCUCUGGUCUGUAACUGACGCUGAGGUUCGAAAGCGUGGGUAGCAAACAGGAUUAGAUACCCGUGUAGUC
RNAcentral lists this ribosomal RNA (465 nucleotides) under uncultured bacterium. RNAcentral's name for it is "partial 16S ribosomal RNA". It matches the Rfam family "Bacterial small subunit ribosomal RNA", at positions 338 to 795 of the family's 1533-position model. The record is from RNAcentral.